Molecule: ribosomal RNA, 524 nt
Filed under: uncultured bacterium
Lineage: Bacteria
Description: partial 16S ribosomal RNA
Rfam family: Bacterial small subunit ribosomal RNA
Source: RNAcentral
GACGAACGCUGGCGGCGUGCUUAACACAUGCAAGUCGAACGAGACGAUUGAAAGCUUGCUUUCGAAAGUCGAGUGGCAAACGGGUGAGUAACGCGUAGACAACCUGCCUUUGAGAUGGGGACAACAGUUCGAAAGGACUGCUAAUACCGAAUGUUGUAUAUUUUCCACAUGGAAGAUAUAUUAAAGAUGGCCUCUAUCUAUAAGCUAUCGCUCAAAGAUGGGUCUGCGUCUGAUUAGCUAGUUGGUGGGGUAACGGCCUACCAAGGCGACGAUCAGUAGCCGGUCUGGGAGGAUGAACGGCCACAUUGGGACUGAGAACCGGCCCAGACUCCUACGGGAGGCAGCAGUGGGGAAUCUUCCACAAUGGACGAAAGUCUGAUGGAGCAACGCCGCGUGAGUGAAGAAGGGUUUCGGCUCGUAAAGCUCUGUUGUCGGGGACGAAUGGUUAGUAUGUAAAUAAUGUAUUGACAUGACGGUACCUUUGGAGGAAGCCACGGCUAACUACGUGCCAGCCGCCGCGGUAA